UCCGGCUUCUCGCCGGCAGUCCUCUUCGAGUGCCCGGCAUAACCCGCUUUAACUAGCAUGUCAAGUCUAGGUAAGGUUCUUCGCGUUGCAUCGAAUUAAGCCACAUGCUCCGCCGCUUGUGCGGGUCCCCGUCAAUUCCUUUGAGUUUUAGCCUUGCGGCCGUACUCCCCAGGCGGGGUGCUUAAUGCGUUAGCUGCGGCACGGAGAGGGUUGAAGACCUCCCCACACCUAGCACCCAACGUUUACGGCUGGGACUAC
Molecule: unclassified non-coding RNA, 258 nt
Filed under: uncultured Actinomycetes bacterium
Lineage: Bacteria; Bacillati; Actinomycetota; Actinomycetes
Description: uncultured actinobacterium contains 16S-23S intergenic spacer region
Source: RNAcentral